Ctenocephalides felis (cat flea) is the source of this 277-nucleotide long non-coding RNA. RefSeq lists it as uncharacterized. NCBI's taxonomy places the organism in Eukaryota, Metazoa, Arthropoda, Insecta, Siphonaptera, Pulicidae. The transcript has 2 exons. The record is from RefSeq and is a predicted model, not a curated record.
ACAGCGUUUGUCACAGAUGAUUCCACAAAAAAAGUGUCAAUUAAUAGUGUGGGAGACUUCCCAUCUUUAGGAAAUAACUAUUCAGAACCUCAUCAGUCGAACCCUCAGUGGUUAUCAAAUAAGCCAAAAAAGCAAUCAAAGGUUGCCCCUGCUCCGUGUUACCAAAGUCGCAAUGUCUCACUGAUGCUUCUGCUUUCCCAACAUUGAGCAGAUCUGAUCAAAAGAGUCAAGGCAAUUAUAUGAGCUCGAGCCAAAGUAGUACAAAUGAAUUAAAAAA